Long non-coding RNA from Aphis gossypii (cotton aphid), 1260 nucleotides. RefSeq lists it as uncharacterized. The transcript has 3 exons. Lineage: Eukaryota; Metazoa; Arthropoda; Insecta; Hemiptera; Aphididae. The record is from RefSeq and is a predicted model, not a curated record.
AGUUAUUCAGAUUUCUAAGUAGAUAAAAUGUUGUUUUCCAGCUCCGAUGUUGCGAUAGUGUUGAUUAACAUUUUGAUUGAUAAUUAAUUUUCAGUAGACUACUACAAUUUUGUUUUCUGGAAAGAUUUUUGAGGAUUUUUGAAAAAGGGGAUUUUUACGAACAAAAUACCUAAUUUCUCUAAUUCAUGGCUGAAGACUAACGAAUUUAGUUAAGUUAUAAGUCAAUAGAUUGUUAAAAGUAAAACCGUGUAUCAUAUGCAUACCUUUUCUUUUAAGUAAAUCAAUCUACAGAUCUAAUAAUUUAAUAAUUCCUUUCCUUAUCUUCCCAAUAUAAUAGUCAAUAUUUAUCAUAGUGUUUUCCAACUGUAAUGAUUUCAUAAUACAUAAAUUGUACUCCUCACCAUGGUGAUCAUUCUAUCAGUUAACAAGUAGAAAGUCGAUAAUCGUUUGACUUUCAUCACACUUGUUGUUAAAAACAUUGUAUUCAUUUUAUUUUUUUAUGUGUUCAUAUUUUAUUUUUUCUUCCUAUACUUCUCGGCUUUGGUCUUAUAAUAUUUAUCAUUUAGUAUUUUCCUUGUCGUUCAAGUCAUAGUUCAUAAUAUGAUGAAAAGUAUAUUGUAUAUUUUAAUCUGUCGGUACUCGGUUUACUCGUUUUAUAUAACAUAUAUGUCUACAUCCCUUUUAUUUGUGUGUGUGUCUAUAUACAAGCUAAAGUAGUCAAUUCAUGGAGAUAAAAUUGAAAACAGUAGAGUGAAAUGCCAAAAUUUACUUAAACGUACAUUUCUUUAACGUUGGUCAAGAAACCCAUGGUCCGUCAGAAUCCUUCGUAGUCGACGAAAAUCUCGAAACUUUUACGUACUUGUAUAUAUUAUAUUUUUGCGCAGCAACAGUAGCUUGGGUGGCGUAAACUAAAAAGUUUGGAAACCGCUGCUAUAUAGUAUUAUACAGUUACAUCACUUAGUUGUAUGUUCGUAAAUUGCGCCUACAGUGAACAGGUAGGCAAUUAAAAAAACUAGGUGUAAUCAAUAAAAAAUUGCACCUGGAAUUUUUCGAUUUCUAAAAUGGGUAUAGUACUUUGCGUCCAUAGUACCUACUUAGUGGUCUCUUGAAUUCAUCAAUAUCUAUUUUGGAUACUUUUAUACAUUUACCAAUGUAAAGGCCAAAUUUUUAUUGCUAUAUUAUAAUAUUGUUAUGAUUAUAUCGGUAUUGAUGAUUUUAUAUUUUUAUGUAAUUUUUUAGUUUCAUGCAAAAUACCAUAGA